This 402-nucleotide ribosomal RNA is filed under the name uncultured bacterium. RNAcentral's name for it is "bacterial SSU rRNA". It matches the Rfam family "Bacterial small subunit ribosomal RNA", at positions 917 to 1322 of the family's 1533-position model. The record is from RNAcentral.
GGGCCCGCACAAGCGGUGGAGCAUGUGGUUUAAUUCGAUGAUACGCGAGGAACCUUACCAGGGCUUAAAUGGGAAAUGACAGGGGCAGAGACGCCCCCUUCUUCGGACAUUUUUCUAAGGUGCUGCAUGGUUGUCGUCAGCUCGUGCCGUGAGGUGUCAGGUUAAGUCCUAUAACGAGCGCAACCCCUAUCUUCAGUUGCCAUCAUUUAGUUGGGGACUCUGGAGAGACUGCCCGUGUAAGCGAGGAGGAAGGCGGGGACGACGUCAAAUCAUCAUGGCCUUUAUGCCUAGGGCUACACACGUGCUACAAUGGCAGGUACAGAGGACAGCGAAGUCGCGAGGCUAAGCAAAUCUCAAAAAGCCUGUCCCAGUUCGGAUUGGAGUCUGGAACUCGACUCCAUG